RNAcentral lists this ribosomal RNA (406 nucleotides) under uncultured bacterium. RNAcentral describes it as "partial 16S ribosomal RNA". It matches the Rfam family "Bacterial small subunit ribosomal RNA", at positions 30 to 526 of the family's 1533-position model. The record is from RNAcentral.
AUUGAACGCUGGCGGCAGGCUUAACACAUGCAAGUCGAGCGAGCGGCGGACUGGUGAGUAAUGUCUGGGAAACUGCCUGAUGGAGGGGGAUAACUACUGGAAACGGUAGCUAAUACCGCAUACCAUCAGAUGUGCCCAGAUGGGUUUAGCUAGUAGGUGAGGUAUUGGCGCACCUAGGCGACGAUCCCUAGCUGGUCUGAGAGGAUGACCAGCCACACUGGAACUGAGACACGGCCCAGACUCCUACGUGAGGCAGCAGUGGGGAAUAUUGCACAAUGGGCGCAAGCCUGAUGCAGCCAUGCCGCGUGUGUGAAGAAUGCCUUCGGGUUGUAAAGCACUGUCAGCGAGGAGGCGUUACUCGAAGAGGAAGCACCGGCUAACUCCGUGCCAGCAGCCGCGGUAAUUC